This 323-nucleotide long non-coding RNA is filed under the name Gallus gallus (chicken). Its description in RNAcentral is "lncRNA (ENSGALG00010003385.1)". The record is from RNAcentral. Lineage: Eukaryota; Metazoa; Chordata; Aves; Galliformes; Phasianidae.
AUGUGACCUUCAGCUUAUUUUCAAAAAUGCCUAUGCCAUGGAAGAGAAAACCUGGGGUGACAAGAGGAAAGGAUCAGAGCAAAGCAGAGCUGCUGGAAACACAUAUACAGUUGGAAGUUGUGGGUCCUCCAAGAACACACGAUGCAGGAUCUAUAUUUCAGAAGGAAUGAAGGGAAGAUGAAGGUUUCAGGGUUCCUGGCAUCCUAUGUUGCAGCUGUCAGUUGAGGUUCAGGCUGGAUAUCAGGAAAAGUUACAAUUGGUAGCUAUAUCAAUAACCAUGAAUUCUCCCCAGACUACAUGGAUCACUUUAGCCCUGAGAACAU